This is a ribosomal RNA of 340 nucleotides. It matches the Rfam family "Bacterial large subunit ribosomal RNA", at positions 1 to 361 of the family's 2925-position model.
UAAGUUAAGUGAACAAGGGCAUACGGCGGAUGCCUUGGCGCCAAGAGCCGAUGAAGGACGCGGUAAGCUGCGAAAAGGCAUGGGUAGGAGCAAGCAUCCUGUGAUCCAUGCAUAUCCGAAUGGGGCAACCCACCAUCAGUCAUGUGAUGGUACGAAAGAGGCAGACCUGGGGAACUGAAACAUCUAAGUACCCAGAGGAAAAGUAAUCAAUUGAGAUUCCCUAAGUAGCGGCGAGCGAAAGGGGAAGAGCCCAAACCAUGAAACUUCGGUUUUGUGGGGUUGAGGACCGGCAAAAAGAGGAAACUUCUUAGUCGAAUGGUUUGGAAAGGCCAUGCACAGA